ACAGCAGUAGCCGCGGUAAUACGAAGGGUGCAAGCGUUACUCGGAAUUACUGGGCGUAAAGCGUGCGUAGGUGGUGGUUUAAGUCCGUUGUGAAAGCCCCGGGCUCAACCUGGGAAUUGCAGUGGAUACUGGGUCACUAGAGUGUGGUAGAGGAUAGUGGAAUUUCCGGUGUAGCGGUGAAAUGCGUAGAGAUCGGGAGGAACAUCAGUGGCGAAGGCGGCCAUCUGGGACAACACUGACGCUGAGGCACGAAAGCGUGGGGAGCAAACAGGAUUAGAUACCCGAGUAGUCCCUGUCUCUUAUAC
This 305-nucleotide ribosomal RNA is filed under the name uncultured bacterium. RNAcentral describes it as "partial 16S ribosomal RNA". It matches the Rfam family "Bacterial small subunit ribosomal RNA", at positions 508 to 807 of the family's 1533-position model. The record is from RNAcentral.